This 845-nucleotide ribosomal RNA is filed under the name uncultured bacterium. Its description in RNAcentral is "bacterial SSU rRNA". It matches the Rfam family "Bacterial small subunit ribosomal RNA", at positions 57 to 898 of the family's 1533-position model. The record is from RNAcentral.
GCAGUCGAACGGCAGCACGGGUGCUUGCACCUGGUGGCGAGUGGCGAACGGGUGAGUAAUACAUCGGAACGUACCUUAUCGUGGGGGAUAACGCAGCGAAAGCUGUGCUAAUACCGCAUACGCCCUGAGGGGGAAAGCGGGGGAUCGCAAGACCUCGCGCGAUUAGAGCGGCCGAUGCCUGAUUAGCUUGUUGGUGGGGUAAAAGCCCACCAAGGCGACGAUCAGUAGCUGGUCUGAGAGGACGAUCAGCCACACUGGGACUGAGACAUGGCCCAGACUCCUACGGGAGGCAGCAGUGGGGAAUUUUGGACAAUGGGGGCAACCCUGAUCCAGCAAUGCCGCGUGAGUGAAGAAGGCCUUCGGGUUGUAAAGCUCUUUUGUCAGGGAAGAAACACCGGCUCUAACACAGUCCGGGAAUGACGGUACCUGAAGAAUAAGCACCGGCUAACUACGUGCCAGCAGCCGCGGUAAUACGUAGGGUGCGAGCGUUAAUCGGAAUUACUGGGCGUAAAGCGUGCGCAGGCGGUUAUACAAGACAGGCGUGAAAUCCCCGGGCUUAACCUGGGAAUGGCGCCUGUGACUGUAUAGCUAGAGUGUGUCAGAGGGGGGUAGAAUUCCACGUGUAGCAGUGAAAUGCGUAGAUAUGUGGAGGAAUACCAAUGGCGAAGGCAGCCCCCUGGGAUAACACUGACGCUCAUGCACGAAAGCGUGGGGAGCAAACAGGAUUAGAUACCCUGGUAGUCCACGCCCUAAACGAUGCUGACUAGUUGUUCGGGAUUUACAUCCUGAGUAACGUAGCUAACGCGUGAAGUCAGCCGCCUGGGGAGUACGGUCGCAAGAUUAAA